This 603-nucleotide ribosomal RNA is filed under the name Oidiodendron sp. 2 CC 12-16. RNAcentral's name for it is "eukaryotic LSU rRNA". The stretch from base 239 to 392 matches the Rfam family "5.8S ribosomal RNA". Lineage: Eukaryota; Fungi; Ascomycota; Leotiomycetes; Myxotrichaceae. The record is from RNAcentral.
UCUUGGUCAUUUAGAGGAAGUAAAAGUCGUAACAAGGUCUCCGUAGGUGAACCUGCGGAGGGAUCAUUACAGAGUUCAUGCCCUCCGGGUAGAUCUCCCACCCAUUGCUAUCACUACUCUCGUUGCUUUGGCGGGCCGCUGGGCCCUGCCCGGCCGCCGGCCCCGGCUGGCGCGUGCCCGCCAGAGACCUCACAGACUCUGAAUGUUAGUGUCGUCCGAGUAACUAUACAAUCGUUAAAACUUUCAACAACGGAUCUCUUGGUUCUGGCAUCGAUGAAGAACGCAGCGAAAUGCGAUAAGUAAUGCGAAUUGCAGAAUUCAGUGAGUCAUCGAAUCUUUGAACGCACAUUGCGCCCUGUGGUAUUCCGCAGGGCAUGCCUGUUCGAGCGUCAUUUCAACCCUCAAGCCUCGCUUGGUGUUGGGCCCUGCCCGCCGCGGCCGGCCCUAAAGAUAGUGGCGGCGCCGCCUGGCCCUCAGCGUAGUACAGCUCUCGCUCCAGGGUCCGGCGGCAGCCUGCCAGAACCCCCCCCAACUCUGUGGUUGACCUCGGAUCAGGUAGGGAUACCCGCUGAACUUAAGCAUAUCAAUAAGCGGAGGAAUCGA